AUGGAGGACUUCGAUACCUAUGACGAUCGGGCCUACAGCAGCUUAGGUGGCGGUAGAGGGUCCCGCGGCAGUGCUGGUGGCCAUGGGUCCCGAAGCCAGAAGGAGCUACCCACAGAGCCCCCCCCCCCCCUACACAGCUUACGUAGGAAAUCUCCCUUUUAAACAGUUCAGGGUGACAUAGAUGCUAUCUUUAAGGAUCUCAGCAUACGGAGUGUGCGGCUAGUCAGAGACAAAGACACAGACAAAUUUAAACGGUUCUGCUAUGUAGAAUUUGAUGAGGUGGAUUCCCUGAAGGAGGCUCUGACUUAUGACGGUGCACUCUUGGGUGACCGGUCACUUCGUGUGGACAUUGCAGAAGGCAGAAAACAAGAUAAAGGUGGCUUUGGAUUCAGGAAAGGCGGGCCUGAUGACAGAGGCUACAGGGAUGACUUCUUAGGGGGUAGGGGGGGCAGUCGCCCUGGGGACCGGCGAGCAGGACCUCCAAUGGGGAGUCGCUUUCGAGAUGGCCCUCCUCUGCGUGGCUCCAACAUGGACUUCAGAGAACCCACAGAAGAGGAACAAGCACAGAGACCGCGGCUGCAGCUUAAACCUCGGACAGUGGCAAUGCCCCUCAAUCAAGUAGCCAACCCCAACUCAGCCAUCUUCGGGGGAGCCAGGCCCAGAGAGGAAGUGGUUCAGAAGGAGCAAGAAUGAGCUUAGGUUGGGAGGGAAUGGGGCGUGGGGGAGCUGGAGCAAGACCACGGCCUGGUGGCAGCUGGUCGCCCUACAGGCCCCAUUCCCGCCUGGCACUGUCCUCCUUACAGCGGAAACACAGAGCUUGUGAGUGCAUGUCAGCUGUUAACAAGUGGUUUCUAGUACAUUCUUGGCUUUGCUAUAUCUAUCCAGUGCCUGUUUUGUGAUUUCUUUCUGUUUUCUUUCUCUCCCCUCUCACUCCUGCCCUCUCCCUGCCCUUCCCAUGUGGUGUGGAUGUUGGUCACGUGUGGAAGGUGGGCUGAGGUGCUUCAUCCUUUGCUUUCUUUCUUUCCUUUACACACCCUGGCCACGCUCAGGGCGUGCUGUCCUCUGCUUUUUCUCAGAGCUUCUCUCCAACCUGCAUGUCGAGUUCUGUGUUGCUGUGGCUUCUGGGAAAGAGCUGGAGCCACUAGCUAGGUGGCUGGUGGUGACUUGUUGGUAUCCAGCUGGGAUGAGCAUGCAGAAUUGGUGCACCUUGGGGUCGAACAAGAAAACUGCCUGC
Molecule: non-coding RNA, 1234 nt
Organism: Mus caroli (Ryukyu mouse)
Lineage: Eukaryota; Metazoa; Chordata; Mammalia; Rodentia; Muridae
Source: RefSeq, a predicted model, not a curated record